UACGGGAGGCAGCAGUGGGGAAUAUUGCACAAUGGGGGAAACCCUGAUGCAGCCAUGCCGCGUGUGUGAAGAAGGCCUUCGGGUUGUAAAGCACUUUCAGUAGGGAGGAAAGGUAGCAGCUUAAUACGGUUCUUCUGUGACGUUACCUACAGAAGAAGGACCGGCUAACUCCGUGCCAGCAGCCGCGGUAAUACGGAGGGUCCGAGCGUUAAUCGGAAUUACUGGGCGUAAAGCGUGCGCAGGCGGUUUGUUAAGCGAGAUGUGAAAGCCCCGGGCUCAACCUGGGAAAUGCAUUUUGAACUGGCGAACUAGAGUCUUGUAGAGGGGGGUAGAAUUCCAGGUGUAGCGGUGAAAUGCGUAGAGAUCUGGAGGAAUACCGGUGGCGAAGGCGGCCCCCUGGACAAAGAGUGACGCUCAGGCACGAAAGUUUGGGGAGCAAACAGGA
RNAcentral lists this ribosomal RNA (445 nucleotides) under uncultured Shewanella sp. RNAcentral's name for it is "bacterial SSU rRNA". It matches the Rfam family "Bacterial small subunit ribosomal RNA", at positions 340 to 777 of the family's 1533-position model. Lineage: Bacteria; Pseudomonadati; Pseudomonadota; Gammaproteobacteria; Alteromonadales; Shewanellaceae. The record is from RNAcentral.